RNAcentral lists this ribosomal RNA (618 nucleotides) under uncultured bacterium. RNAcentral's name for it is "bacterial SSU rRNA". It matches the Rfam family "Bacterial small subunit ribosomal RNA", at positions 338 to 950 of the family's 1533-position model. The record is from RNAcentral.
CCUACGGGAGGCAGCAGUGGGGAAUUUUGGACAAUGGGCGCAAGCCUGAUCCAGCAAUGCCGCGUGCAGGAUGAAGGCCUUCGGGUUGUAAACUGCUUUUGUACGGAACGAAACGGUUUGCCCUAAUACGGUGGGCUAAUGACGGUACCGUAAGAAUAAGCACCGGCUAACUACGUGCCAGCAGCCGCGGUAAUACGUAGGGUGCGAGCGUUAAUCGGAAUUACUGGGCGUAAAGCGUGCGCAGGCGGUUAUAUAAGACAGAUGUGAAAUCCCCGGGCUCAACCUGGGACCUGCAUUUGUGACUGUAUAGCUAGAGUACGGUAGAGGGGGAUGGAAUUCCGCGUGUAGCAGUGAAAUGCGUAGAUAUGCGGAGGAACACCGAUGGCGAAGGCAAUCCCCUGGACCUGUACUGACGCUCAUGCACGAAAGCGUGGGGAGCAAACAGGAUUAGAUACCCUGGUAGUCCACGCCCUAAACGAUGUCAACUGGUUGUUGGGUCUUCACUGACUCAGUAACGAAGCUAACGCGUGAAGUUGACCGCCUGGGGAGUACGGCCGCAAGGUUGAAACUUANAGAGUAGUAGCGUGAGACGUGCGACGACGACACAGGGAGGUUAGG